Manis javanica (Malayan pangolin) is the source of this 353-nucleotide long non-coding RNA. RefSeq lists it as uncharacterized. The record is from RefSeq and is a predicted model, not a curated record. NCBI's taxonomy places the organism in Eukaryota, Metazoa, Chordata, Mammalia, Pholidota, Manidae.
AUUUCAGAGAGGAGCUGAUGGCCCCAAGCUGGCGGCUUAUCUACUUAUGUUUGCUGAGGAAUGGAGAGCUUCAGAUAAUCAGGCACCUCUACUGUCUCCCAGGACAGAGUCAGACAACCAAAGACAUGGGAAGAGCCCGAUGAACCUGAGAUGGCAUCUCAGUAAUUCAUUCUACAGUGAAACCCAGCCAUCACCAUGGGGAGGAGCCCGCCUCUGGAACCAGACGGCUGGUCAACCCGCCCCUCGCCAGCUCCCUCUGAGACCCUGGGGGAAUCACCAACCGCCGCUCUGCAAGCAGGAACGAGGGCAGCACUUCCACACAGGGUUCUUAUAAGGACUGAAAAGCUUAAUGA